GGAGAGGUGGCAGAGUGGUUUAUUGUGUCGGUCUUGAAAACCGAAGUGCCUGCAACGGUACCGUGGGUUCGAAUCCCUCCCUCUCCGCCA
RNAcentral lists this transfer RNA (90 nucleotides) under Puniceicoccales bacterium. RNAcentral's name for it is "tRNA-Ser". It matches the Rfam family "tRNA". From Rfam's summary of the family: Transfer RNA (tRNA) molecules are approximately 80 nucleotides in length. Lineage: Bacteria; Pseudomonadati; Verrucomicrobiota; Opitutia; Puniceicoccales. The record is from RNAcentral.